GAUGAACGCUGGCGGCGUGCCUAAUACAUGCAAGUCGAGCGAACGGACGAGAAGCUUGCUUUUCUGAUGUUAGCGGCGGACGGGUGAGUAACACGUGGAUAACCUACCUAUAAGACUGGGAUAACUUCGGGAAACCGGAGCUAAUACCGGAUAAUAUUUUGAACCGCAUGGUUCAAAAGUGAAAGACGGUCUUGCUGUCACUUAUAGAUGGAUCCGCGCUGCAUUAGCUAGUUGGUAAGGUAACGGCUUACCAAGGCAACGAUGCAUAGCCGACCUGAGAGGGUGAUCGGCCACACGGGAACUGAGACACGGUCCAGACUCCUACGGGAGGCAGCAGUAGGGAAUCUUACGCAAUGGGCGAAAGCCUGACGGAGCAACGCCGCGUGAGUGAUGAAGGUCUUCGGAUCGUAAAACUCUGUUAUUAGGGAAGAACAUAUGUGUAAGUAACUGUGCACAUCUUGACGGUACCUAAUCAGAAAGCCACGGCUAACUACGUG
This 497-nucleotide ribosomal RNA is filed under the name uncultured bacterium. RNAcentral's name for it is "partial 16S ribosomal RNA". It matches the Rfam family "Bacterial small subunit ribosomal RNA", at positions 28 to 507 of the family's 1533-position model. The record is from RNAcentral.